GUCCAGACUCCUACGGGAGGCAGCAGUGAGGAAUAUUGGUCAAUGGGCGAGAGCCUGAGCCAGCCAAGUCGCGUGAGGGAAGACGGUCCUAUGGAUUGUAAACCUCUUUUGCCGGGGAGCAAAAAGCGGUACGUGUACCGCAUCGAGAGUACCCGGAGAAAAAGCAUCGGCUAACUCCGUGCCAGCAGCCGCGGUAAUACGGAGGAUGCGAGCGUUAUCCGGAUUUAUUGGGUUUAAAGGGUGCGUAGGCGGGCAUUUAAGCCGGCGGUCAAAUGUCGGGGCUCAACCCCGGCCUGCCGUCGGAACUGGGUGCCUUGAGUGGGCGAGAAGUAUGCGGAAUGCGUGGUGUAGCGGUGAAAUGCAUAGAUAUCACGCAGAACCCCGAUUGCGAAGGCAGCAUACCGGCGCCCUACUGACGCUGAGGCACGAAAGUGCGGGUAUCGAACAGGAUUAGAUACCCUGGUA
This 465-nucleotide ribosomal RNA is filed under the name uncultured bacterium. RNAcentral describes it as "bacterial SSU rRNA". It matches the Rfam family "Bacterial small subunit ribosomal RNA", at positions 329 to 792 of the family's 1533-position model. The record is from RNAcentral.